GUAACAUGGAAUUCAUAAAUGAUAUUGCAGAGAAAAGUAAAUUGCAGUUUGCAUGUAAUAGCAGCUAUUCAGAUGCUGUUUUGUGGCAAUCUUUAUACACACAAUGUGAAAUUGCCAAUAGUGAAAUUGACAAGAAAUUGUUUGUUAAUAAGAAAAAACAAAAGAUCAGAAAUGUUAUGAAACUAGUCUGUACUUACAAUGCAUUGAUUUGUAAACGAAAUGCAGGUCAAGAAAAUUUAGAAUCAGCAGAAAAAGAAGUAGAUUUGAAUGGGUUAACAGAAGACAAAUCAGAUUUAAAUGAACAGUGUAACAAUGUAACAGAGAGAACAUUGUCAGAAAAAGUCUGUGAAUUAGAGGAUAGAGUUGAACUAAGAAAUGAUCUUAUCUGCCAGCUUAGAAAUGAAG
Molecule: non-coding RNA, 405 nt
Organism: Pelobates cultripes (western spadefoot toad)
Lineage: Eukaryota; Metazoa; Chordata; Amphibia; Anura; Pelobatidae
Source: the annotation of a GenBank genome assembly